Teleopsis dalmanni is the source of this 411-nucleotide long non-coding RNA. RefSeq lists it as uncharacterized. The record is from RefSeq and is a predicted model, not a curated record. The transcript has 2 exons. NCBI's taxonomy places the organism in Eukaryota, Metazoa, Arthropoda, Insecta, Diptera, Diopsidae.
GUUGGAACGUGUGUGAUGUGUUGCGCGUAUAUCUGUGAAGUGCUCGUAUUUCCGUUCGAAAUUUAACACAAUUGAAAAAAAAAAUAUAAUUAAAAAUAUUUUCGUAAAUUGAAAGUGAAAGGAUCAAAGUUAAAAUAUAUGAGUGAUUUGAAGAAUCAGUCCCGAAAAAAAUAUAAAAAAAUAAAACAUAAUUAAAUUCAGUAAAAAUCGAGAGUUAUAAGAACGUGACUAAAAAAAACGUGAUAUUCAUGUAGAAUAACAAAAAGAAAACAAACAAUCCAAAGUAACAAAAAAUACAAUAACAAUAACAACAAUAACAACAACAAUAGCAAACAGAGCAACAGCUUAAAGUGUUGGUUGAAUAGAAGACCAAAACGUAAAGCCAUCCAUCGAUCGGUACUAGAAGUCAAG